UAGGGAAUAUUGGACAAUGGGCGAAAGCCUGAUCCAGCAAUGCCGCGUGAGUGAUGAAGGCCUUAGGGUUGUAAAGCUCUUUUACCCGGGAUGAUAAUGACAGUACCGGGAGAAUAAGCCCCGGCUAACUCCGUGCCAGCAGCCGCGGUAAUACGGGGGGAGCAAGCGUUGUUCGGAUUUACUGGGCGUAAAGGGCGCGUAGGCGGCCUCCGCAAGUCGACUGUGAAAUCUCCGGGCUUAACUCGGAAAGGUCAGCCGAUACUGCGGGGCUAGAGUGCAGAAGGGGCAACUGGAAUUCUCGGUGUAGCGGUGAAAUGCGUAGAUAUCGAGAGGAACACCUGCGGCGAAGGCGGGUUGCUGGGCUGACACUGACGCUGAGGCGCGAAAGCUAGGGGAGCGAAC
This 402-nucleotide ribosomal RNA is filed under the name uncultured bacterium. Its description in RNAcentral is "bacterial SSU rRNA". It matches the Rfam family "Bacterial small subunit ribosomal RNA", at positions 355 to 773 of the family's 1533-position model. The record is from RNAcentral.